This 477-nucleotide ribosomal RNA is filed under the name uncultured bacterium. RNAcentral describes it as "partial 16S ribosomal RNA". It matches the Rfam family "Bacterial small subunit ribosomal RNA", at positions 355 to 824 of the family's 1533-position model. The record is from RNAcentral.
UAGGGAAUCUUCCACAAUGGACGCAAGUCUGAUGGAGCAACGCCGCGUGAGUGAAGAAGGUUUUCGGACCGUAAAGCUCUGUUGUUGGUGAAGAAGGAUAGAGGUAGUAACUGGCCUUUAUUUGACGGUAAUCAACCAGAAAGUCACGGCUAACUACGUGCCAGCAGCCGCGGUAAUCGUAGGUGGCAAGCGUUGUCCGGAUUUAUUGGGCGUAAAGCGAGCGCAGGCGGAAGAAUAAGUCUGAUGUGAAAGCCCUCGGCUUAACCGAGGAAUUGCAUCGGAAACUGUUUUCUUGAGUGCAGAAGAGGAGAGUAGAACUCCAUGUGUAGCGGUGGAAUGCGUAGAUAUAUGGAAGAAUACCAGUGGCGAAGGCGGCUCUCUGGUCUGCAACUGACGCUGAGGCUCGAAAGCAUGGGUAGCGAACAGGAUUAGAUACCCUGGUAGUCCAUGCCGUAAACGGUAUGAGUGCUAAGUGUU